This 420-nucleotide ribosomal RNA is filed under the name uncultured ammonia-oxidizing bacterium. Its description in RNAcentral is "bacterial SSU rRNA". It matches the Rfam family "Bacterial small subunit ribosomal RNA", at positions 191 to 592 of the family's 1533-position model. The record is from RNAcentral.
CACGGGGGGAGGAAAGUAGGGGAUCGUAAGACCUUGCGCUUUUGGAGCGGCCGAUGCCUGAUUAGCUAGUUGGUGGGGUAAUGGCCUACCAAAGCUUCGAUCAGUAGCUGGUCUGAGAGGACGGCCAGCCACACUGGGACUGAGACACGGCCCAGACUCCUACGGGAGGCAGCAGUGGGGAAUUUUGGACAAUGGGCGCAAGCCUGAUCCAGCCAUGCCGCGUGAGUGAAGAAGGCCUUCGGGUUGUAAAGCUCUUUCAGCCGGGAAGAAAAGGUUGCGAUUAAUAAUCGCAAUUUAUGACGGUACCGGAAGAAGAAGCACCGGCUAACUACGUGCCAGCAGCCGCGGUAAUACGUAGGGUGCGAGCGUUAAUCGGAAUUACUGGGCGUAAAGGGUGCGCAGGCGGUUUUGUAAGUCAGA